Molecule: transfer RNA, 64 nt
Filed under: Lanka ramakrishnai
Lineage: Eukaryota; Metazoa; Arthropoda; Insecta; Coleoptera; Chrysomelidae
Description: tRNA-Tyr
Source: RNAcentral
GGUGAAAUGGCUGAGGUUAGGCGAUAAAUUGUAAAUUUAUUUAGGAAUAAUAAUUCUUUUACCA